GAUGAACGCUAGCGAUAGGCUUAACACAUGCAAGUCGAGGGGCAGCACAAGGUAGCUUGCUAUCUGGGUGGCGACCGGCGCACGGGUGCGUAACGCGUAUGCAACUUGCCCUAUACAGGAGGAUAACCCGUCGAAAGACGGACUAAUACUGCGUAUGCUCACAACUUGGCAUCAAGUGGUGAGGAAAGAAAUUCGGUAUAGGAUAGGCAUGCGUCCCAUUAGCUUGUUGGUGAGGUAACGGCUCACCAAGGCAACGAUGGGUAGGGGAACUGAGAGGUUUAUCCCCCACACUGGUACUGAGACACGGACCAGACUCCUACGGGAGGCAGCAGUGAGGAAUAUUGGUCAAUGGGCGCGAGCCUGUACCAGCCAAGUCGCGUGAAGGAGGACUGUCUUAUGGAUUGUAAACUUCUUUUAUACGGGAAUAACAAGAGUCACGUGUGACUCCCUGCAUGUACCGUAUGAAUAAGCAUCGGCUAACUCCGUG
Molecule: ribosomal RNA, 487 nt
Filed under: uncultured bacterium
Lineage: Bacteria
Description: partial 16S ribosomal RNA
Rfam family: Bacterial small subunit ribosomal RNA
Source: RNAcentral